AUGCCGGGCAGCGCCGCGGCACCGGGAGGCGGCCAGGUACUACCGGCACCGGGAACGGGAACGGGAACGGCACCGGGAACGGGAACGGGAACGGGAACGGCACCGGGAACGGGAACGGGAACGGGAACGGCACCGGCACGGGCGGGCGCGGGGCCGGGGCCGGGGCGGGGUGGGUGGAGCCGCCCCCGCCGCGUUUCCGCCGCUGGCACCGGCCGCUCCCGCCGGCACCGGGGCCGCUCCCGAGGGGACAAAGGCGGGAGGAUGCCGGGCGGCGCCGCGGCACCGGGAGGCGGCCAGGUACUACCGGCACCGGGAACGGGAACGGCACCGGGCGGUUCCUUCCUCCCGUCCCUGCCGCGGCCAGAGCCCCCCCGGGUCCCGGUGCUGCCCCGGUACCGUGAAACGACCGGGACCGCAACGGCGGAAUGCGGAAUUCGGGUCUGGGGGGUUCUGGGCCCGGCGGUACCGGGGGUGCUGUCGGUGCCGCGGAAAGGAUUCCGGUGCCGGUGCCCGUGGCCGGCGGUCCCAUGGGAUGCGAUGCCGCGGUUUCCUUGGCAACCCGUACCGGGAGGAGCCGGGGGGGUACCGGAGGGUACCGCGGUUACCGGAGGGUACCGGGGAUUACCGGAGGAUACCGGGGUUACCGGGGUCACCGGAGGGUACCGGGGUUACCGGAGGGUACCGGGGAUUACCGGAGGGUACCGGGAUUACCGGAGGGUAUCGGGGUUACCGGGGGUUACCGGGGGUUACCGGGGAUCUCCGCACUCCCCCUCACCCGCCUCUCUCCCCGCAGGUCCCGCCGCCCCCCGGGGCACCGCGGGCUCUCCCCUCGCGGCCCCGGUGCCCCGAGCCCCGGCACCCCACGUGAGCAGGAACCGGAGCGGCGUGGCCGGGCCCGAGCCGCAGGUCAGGGGCACCGGGGGGAGGGCGGGGGGGUCCUGGGGCCGUGCCGAGCCGUGCCGUGCCAGGGCGGUGCCAUCCCGUGCCAGGGCAGUGCCAUCCCGAGCCGUGCUGUGCCAGGGCGGUGCCAUCCCGAGCUGUGCCGUGCCAGGGCGGUGCCAUCCCGUGCCAGGGCAGUGCCAUCCCGAGCUGUGCCGUGCUGUGCCAGGGCAGUGCCAUCCCGAGCCGUGCCGUGCCAGGGCGGUGCCAUCCCGAGCCGAGCUGUGCCGUGCCAGGGCGGUGCCAUCCCGAGCCGUGCCGUGCCAAUUCAUGCAGUUUGAUGCCGUGCCCUGUGCCCCGCCGGGUGAUGCCGUGCCGUGCCGUGCCACACUCCGCUGUGCCACUCGCUUGCCGUGCCAUGCCGUGCCGUGCCGUGCCAGGGCAGUGCCGUGCCAUGCCGUGCCAUGCCGUGCCGUGCCCCCCGCCCCUCUGACGUGCCCCGUGCCCCCCCGCAGCCCCCCCGGGCCAUGCCCGGUGCCGACCCCCGCCGCGGGCGCCGCCGCCCCUCGGGAACGCUCCCGGUGCCCCCCUGGAAGCCCCCGGAGCCCCCCGACCCCCCGCGCCCCUCCUCGCUGCCCCUGCGGGCCCCGCCGGGCACCCCGGCCCGCCCCGCCAGGUACGGGGACACGGGGGGACACGGGGGGGACACGGGGGGGACACGGGGGGACACGGGGGGCGCCGGUGCCGACCCGGGGGGGUUUUGGGGCGCUCCGGCCGUGCGGGGAGGGGUCCCUUGGCGGGCCAUGGGGACAUGGGGACAGUGCCACACAUCCCCCGGGGCAAGGGCAGCGCCCCCGGGCUGGGGACGGCGACCCCCGAGUGUCCCCGGAGCCUCUGGGGAGGGGGUGA
Molecule: long non-coding RNA, 1788 nt
Organism: Taeniopygia guttata (zebra finch)
Lineage: Eukaryota; Metazoa; Chordata; Aves; Passeriformes; Estrildidae
Source: Ensembl